This 488-nucleotide ribosomal RNA is filed under the name uncultured bacterium. RNAcentral's name for it is "bacterial SSU rRNA". It matches the Rfam family "Bacterial small subunit ribosomal RNA", at positions 28 to 509 of the family's 1533-position model. The record is from RNAcentral.
GAUUAACGCUAGCGGCAGGCCUAAUACAUGCAAGUCGAGGGGCAGCAGGGUGUAGCAAUACAUCGCUGGCGACCGGCGCACGGGUGCGUAACACGUAUGCAACCUACCUUUAACUGGGGAAUAGCCCUCCGAAAGGAGGAUUAACACCGCAUAACAUCACGAGACGGCAUCGCCUUGUGAUCAAACCUCCGGGGGUUAAAGAUGGGCAUGCGUCCGAUUAGCUAGUUGGCGGGGUAACGGCUCACCAAGACGACGAUCAGUAGCCGGCCUGAGAGGGUGACCGGCCACACUGGAACUGAGACACGGUCCAGACUCCUACGGGAGGCAGCAGUAAGGAAUAUUGGACAAUGGUCGCAAGACUGAUCCAGCCAUGCCGCGUGCAGGAUGAACGAUCUAUGAUCUGUAAACUGCUUUUGUUCGGGAAUAAACCCCUUCACGUGUGGAGGGCUGAAUGUACCGAAAGAAUAAGGGUCGGCUAACUUCGUGCC